GCCGGGCGUGGUGGCGCACGCCUGUAAUCCCAGCUACUCAGGAGGCUGAGGCACAAGAAUCACUUGAGCCUGGGAGGCAGAGGCUGCAGUGAGCUGAGAUCAUGCCACUGCACUCCAGCCUGGGCUACAGAGCGAGAUUCUGUCUCAA
Molecule: signal recognition particle RNA, 148 nt
Filed under: Nomascus leucogenys (northern white-cheeked gibbon)
Lineage: Eukaryota; Metazoa; Chordata; Mammalia; Primates; Hylobatidae
Description: Metazoan signal recognition particle RNA
Rfam family: Metazoan signal recognition particle RNA
About the family: The signal recognition particle (SRP) is a universally conserved ribonucleoprotein. It is involved in the co-translational targeting of proteins to membranes.
Source: Rfam by way of RNAcentral